UGAGCUUGAUCUAACGGUUGAACUGAGAGAUAUUGAGGUUUAAGUGAGUCAAGGUCUCAGAAAGUAGAAUUUUAGGUCCAAUGAGGGUUUUUAAGAUUUCAUGCAAUCUACUAGUUGAAUUGGAGUAAAACUUAUGUGAGAGGAUAUUAGACUUGUUUUCCUAUGUCCAUGAGAAAUUUGAAACCAAUCGAAUGGCGCAAAGAAGAGAAAUUGGCUCUGGAAGGU
RNAcentral lists this long non-coding RNA (225 nucleotides) under Physcomitrium patens. Its description in RNAcentral is "long non-coding RNA (PPAT_LNC004556)". The record is from RNAcentral. Lineage: Eukaryota; Viridiplantae; Streptophyta; Bryopsida; Funariales; Funariaceae.